UUCAUGUUCAAUUUAUACAUAUAGGGAGAGAAUCGGAAAUAAAUUGCCAGAAAGAGAACAAUGGAAAGGACUAGGUUCCUAGCCAAGCCAGGGAAUCUACGACCGAUUGUCAAAAAAUCUCUCGCUACGGGGUAAGAAGCAAGGAAGGAGUGCCACUUUCAAGAAUUCUUUUUUAGUUCAAUCACCCGCCGAAGCGAUUUCCUAUCGGUCUUGACCUUCUCAGAGACUUGCCAAGAUAGCGAUCUGCUCUUAUAUUAUAGAUAUUAUAAGACGAUAUUAGAAAAAAGAACCCCUCUCUCUUUCCUUUAUGUGCGCUCUCUCUUCAGUCAUGUGCUUAAAUAAUUAGGAGACGAAGGGAUUUGCAACUUUGGUGAUGCUUUGUUUUUAUGGAAGAUGAUGAAGAAGGUGGAAGGAUUGCGGAUUUGGUGCGGCGUCGGUUUACAUAAUCGAAGCUUUCUCUACACGUAAAUUUCAUGAUCAUUCAGUUUUCUUUUUCCAAUUUUGUAUUAUUCUCUUUGAUCCCGAUGAUUGUGUUUAGUCAGUGAUGUUAAUCUCUGCUUCACCGAUUGAUUGUACUGUUGUAUGUUAAUCACAAUUCAAGGUAACAACUCUCCAUAUAUAUAUAUAUUAAACUUACGUUUUGUCAUCCUUUUCAAAUUAGGGGUUAUUGGUUAAAUUUUCAUGAUAUCAAUGAUAGAGAAGGUUAAACAGGGCUGAAUAAAGUGCUUUCUUGGUUAAAUUUUCAUGAUAUCAAUGUAUAAUUGUAUGAACAUGGAUCCCCUUAACCAAAUUCGUUUUGUUUAUUGAUUUGUUAAUUAAUUUUAAUCUUUGUUUCGUGCCCAUGUCUUGAUUACAAAAAAUCUCAAAUCAUUUUCUCAUUUUAUCACCAAUGUUUGUGCCAUCAUUGGUGGUGUUUUCAAGGUUCGUCUUUAUCUCACUCUUUUCUUUGUGUGUGGGAUUAUUUGUGGCUGGAUUGUGAGAUUACUACUUGAUUAUGUGAUUGAUCAGGUUGAUGGGAUACUGGAUUCGUUUCUGCACAACACAUUGAGACUGGUCAAAAGAGUUAAAUUGGGGAAGAACUUUUAGCAUCUACCCAUCAAAGACCAUUGUUACUAUAUACAUUUGAAUGUUAUUAUAUAUUUUGUUAGAAAAUUUUGGAUUUACACUAUCUAUAUAUCUAUACUUGUGCUCCAAAUACACAUAAAACAAAACUUUUCAAAUGUUCUGGUGCAAUUCUACCACUUAUGACAGAAUUUCAGAUUGAUGCGGAUCAACGUGACAACCAAAUCAUUGUUGGCAAACCAUCUGGCUGAAUCAAUGACAUGAUCCAUGAUAAUAAGAGCUUUUCAUCAAGAGGAACGAUUAUUUGCCAAAAAUCGUGACAUAUUUUGGCUUCGAUGAUUCUAAAAGGCGUUGGCAGCAUUUUAUUUGUAUGUGGCAGCACCACCAGUGCCUAUUUGCUGAUGCCAUUUAAUAAAUUCCAAUACGCUGUCUGCUGGAACUUAUUCCGAUUAAAUUAGUGUUUACGAAGCGGCACACAAAAUGCUAAUUCAUAUGUGUAGCAUUGAAGUUUGAUCAAAUCUUAAUCUUCAUCUGCAGAUAUAUUACUUGCUACUUAUGAGUCCAUUGCUACGUGACUUCUAUGACUAUGACAUGAAUGAUCCAAAGUUUCAUCCUUGUUUUUAA
Long non-coding RNA from Helianthus annuus (common sunflower), 1686 nucleotides. RefSeq lists it as uncharacterized. The transcript is spliced from 2 exons. The record is from RefSeq and is a predicted model, not a curated record. Lineage: Eukaryota; Viridiplantae; Streptophyta; Magnoliopsida; Asterales; Asteraceae.